CUAUUAUUGAGCCUAAAGCGUCCGUAGCCGGUCUUGUAAAUCUCUGGGUAAAUCCUGCCGCUUAACGGUGGGAAUGCUGGAGAGACUGCAAGACUGGGGAUCGGGUGAAGUGAGAGGUACUCCUGGGGUAGGGGUAAAAUCCUGUAAUCCUGGGGGGGCGACCGGUGGCGAAAGCGUCUCACUAGAACGACUCCGACGGUGAGGGACGAAGGCUAGGGGAGCAAACCGGAUUAGAUACCCGGGUAGUCCUAGCUGUAAACGCUGCACACUUGGUGUUGCCCCUUCUUCGGGAAAGGGCAGUGCCGGAGCGAAGGUGUUAAGUGUGCCGCUUGGGGAGUAUGGUCGCAAGGCUGAAACUUAAAGGAAUUGGCGGGAGAGCACCGCAACGGGAGGAGCGUGCGGUUUAAUUGGAUUCAACGCCGGAAAACUCACUAGGGAAGACCAUGGUAUGAGGGUCAACCUGAAGAAUUUACUCGAUUACAUGGAGAAGUGGUGCAUGGCCGUCGUCAGCUCGUACCGUAAAGCGUUCACUUAAGUGUGAUAACGAGCGAGACCCCCGUUCACUUUUGCCAGUACUCUCGCGAGAGAGCACGCACUAUGUGGAGACUGCCAGUGUUAAACUGGAGGAAGGAGAGGUCAACGGCAGGUCAGUAUGCCCCGAAUUCCCUGGGCUACACGCGCGCUACAAAGGACGGAACAAUGGGCUGCAAUUCCGAAAGGAAGAGCCAAUCCCGAAAUCCGUUCGUAGUUCAGACUGAGGACUGUAAUUCGUCCUCACGAAGCUGGAUUCCGUAGUAAUCGCGAUUCAACAGAUCGCGGUGAAUAUGCCCCUGCUCUU
RNAcentral lists this ribosomal RNA (838 nucleotides) under uncultured archaeon. Its description in RNAcentral is "bacterial SSU rRNA". It matches the Rfam family "Archaeal small subunit ribosomal RNA", at positions 497 to 1337 of the family's 1478-position model. The record is from RNAcentral.